Molecule: ribosomal RNA, 250 nt
Filed under: uncultured Chroococcidiopsis sp.
Lineage: Bacteria; Bacillati; Cyanobacteriota; Cyanophyceae; Chroococcidiopsidales; Chroococcidiopsidaceae
Description: partial 16S ribosomal RNA
Rfam family: Bacterial small subunit ribosomal RNA
Source: RNAcentral
CUAGCCGUAAACGAUGGAUACUAGGCGUUGUGAGUAUCGACCCUCACAGUGUCGUAGCUAACGCGUUAAGUAUCCCGCCUGGGGAGUACGCGCGCAAGCGUGAAACUCAAAGGAAUUGACGGGGGCCUGCACAAGCGGUGGAGUAUGUGGUUUAAUUCGAUGCAACGCGAAGAACCUUACCAGGACUUGACAUGUCGCGAAUCUCAGGGAAACUUGAGAGUGCCUUCGGGAGCGCGAACACAGGUGGUGC